GUGGAUUAAGGCAGUGGAUUGUGAAUUCACCAUGCGCGGGUUCAAUUCCCGUCGUUCGCC
This 60-nucleotide transfer RNA is filed under the name Bertholletia excelsa (Brazil nut). RNAcentral's name for it is "tRNA-His". It matches the Rfam family "tRNA", at positions 15 to 71 of the family's 71-position model. Rfam says of the family: Transfer RNA (tRNA) molecules are approximately 80 nucleotides in length. Their secondary structure includes four short double-helical elements and three loops (D, anti-codon, and T loops). Lineage: Eukaryota; Viridiplantae; Streptophyta; Magnoliopsida; Ericales; Lecythidaceae. The record is from RNAcentral.